Molecule: ribosomal RNA, 904 nt
Filed under: Tropicoporia centrali-africana
Lineage: Eukaryota; Fungi; Basidiomycota; Agaricomycetes; Polyporales; Polyporaceae
Description: eukaryotic LSU rRNA
Rfam family: Eukaryotic large subunit ribosomal RNA
Source: RNAcentral
GSCCGGACKGKAWUKGKUUSCCCUWSCCWCUGCRAGWGAAGCGGGAAAAGCUCAAAUUUAAAAUCUGGCGGUCUUUGGCCGUCCGAGUUGUAGUCUGGAGAAGUGCUUUCCGCGCUGGACCGUGUAUAAGUUCUCUUGGAACAGAGCGUCAUAGAGGGGUGAGAAUCCCGUCUUUGACACGGACUACCAGUGCUUUGUGAUGCGCUCUCAAAGAGUCGAGUUGUUUGGGAAUGCAGCUCAAAAUGGGUGGUGAAUUCCAUCUAAAGCUAAAUAUUGGCGAGAGACCGAUAGCGAACAAGUACCGUGAGGGAAAGAUGAAAAGCACUUUGGAAAGAGAGUUAAACAGUACGUGAAAUUGCUGAAAGGGAAACGCUUGAAGUCAGUCGCGUCGGCCGGAACUCAGCCUUGCUUUUGCUUGGUGCACUUUCCGGUUGACGGGCCAGCAUCGAUUUUGACCGUCGGAAAAGGGCUAGAGUAAUGUGGCACCUCCGGGUGUGUUAUAGACUCUAGUCGCAUACGGCGGUUGGGAUCGAGGAACGCAGCGCGCCGCAAGGCAGGGGUUCGCCCACUUUCGCGCUUAGGAUGCUGGCAUAAUGGCUUUAAACGACCCGUCUUGAAACACGGACCAAGGAGUCUAACAUACCUGCGAGUGUUUGGGUGGAAAACCCGAGCGCGUAAUGAAAGUGAAAGUUGGGACCUCUGUCGUGGUAGGGCACCGACGCCCGGACCUGACGUUCUCUGACGGAAUCCGCGGGUAGAGCAUGUAUGUUGGGACCCGAAAGAUGGUGAACUAUGCCUGAAUAGGGUGAAGCCAGAGGAAACUCUGGUGGAGGCUCGYAGCGAUUCUGACGUGCAAAUCSAUCGUAAAUUUGGGUAUAGGGGCGAAAGACUAAUCCGAACCCUU